This 417-nucleotide ribosomal RNA is filed under the name uncultured bacterium. RNAcentral's name for it is "bacterial SSU rRNA". It matches the Rfam family "Bacterial small subunit ribosomal RNA", at positions 355 to 764 of the family's 1533-position model. The record is from RNAcentral.
UGGGGAAUAUUGGACAAUGGGCGAAAGCCUGAUCCAGCCAUGCCGCGUGUGUGAAGAAGGUCUUCGGAUUGUAAAGCACUUUAAGUUGGGAGGAAGGGCAGUAAGUUAAUACCUUGCUGUUUUGACGUUACCAACAGAAUAAGCACCGGCUAACUUCGUGCCAGCAGCCGCGGUAAUACGAAGGGUGCAAGCGUUAAUCGGAAUUACUGGGCGUAAAGCGCGCGUAGGUGGUUUGGUAAGAUGGAUGUGAAAUCCCCGGGCUCAACCUGGGAACUGCAUCCAUAACUGCCUGACUAGAGUACGUUAGAGGGUGGUGGAAUUUCCUGUGUAACGGUGAAAUGCGUAGAUAUAGGAAGGAACACCAGUGGCGAAGGCGACCACCUGGACUGAUACUGACACUGAGGUGCGAAAGCGUGG